RNAcentral lists this ribosomal RNA (484 nucleotides) under uncultured bacterium. RNAcentral's name for it is "partial 16S ribosomal RNA". It matches the Rfam family "Bacterial small subunit ribosomal RNA", at positions 30 to 507 of the family's 1533-position model. The record is from RNAcentral.
AUUGAACGCUGGCGGCAGGCCUAACACAUGCAAGUCGAGCGGAUGAAGGGAGCUUGCUCCUGGAUUCAGCGGCGGACGGGUGAGUAAUGCCUAGGAAUCUGCCUGGUAGUGGGGGAUAACGUCCGGAAACGGGCGCUAAUACCGCAUACGUCCUGAGGGAGAAAGUGGGGGAUCUUCGGACCUCACGCUAUCAGAUGAGCCUAGGUCGGAUUAGCUAGUUGGUGGGGUAAAGGCCUACCAAGGCGACGAUCCGUAACUGGUCUGAGAGGAUGAUCAGUCACACUGGAACUGAGACACGGCCCAGACUCCUACGGGAGGCAGCAGUGGGGAAUAUUGGACAGUGGGCGAAAGCCUGAUCCAGCCAGGCCGCGUGUGUGAAGAAGGUCUUCGGAUUGUAAAGCACUUUAAGUUGGGAGGAAGGGCAGUAAGUUAAUACCUUGCUGUUUUGACGUUACCAACAGAAUAAGCACCGGCUAACUUCGUG